RNAcentral lists this ribosomal RNA (30 nucleotides) under Rhododendron hanceanum. RNAcentral's name for it is "partial 28S ribosomal RNA". The record is from RNAcentral. Lineage: Eukaryota; Viridiplantae; Streptophyta; Magnoliopsida; Ericales; Ericaceae.
ACCCCAGGUCAGGGCGGGAUUACCCGCUGA